Molecule: ribosomal RNA, 440 nt
Filed under: uncultured bacterium
Lineage: Bacteria
Description: partial 16S ribosomal RNA
Rfam family: Bacterial small subunit ribosomal RNA
Source: RNAcentral
CCUACGGGAGGCAGCAGUGGGGAAUAUUGCACAAUGGGGGAAACCCUGAUGCAGCGACGCCGCGUGAGUGAAGAAGUAAUUCGUUAUGUAAAGCUCUAUCAGCAGGGAAGAAAAUGACGGUACCUGAGUCAGAAGCCCCGGCUAACUACGUGCCAGCAGCCGCGGUAAUACGUCGGGGGCAAGCGUUAACCGGAUUUACUGGGGGUAAAGGGAGCGUAGACGGCAGUGCAAGUCUGGAGUGAAAGGCGGGGGCGCAACCCCCGGAAUGCUCUGGAAACUGGACGGCUGGAGUGCAGGAGAGGUAAGUGGAAUGCCUAGUGUAGCGGUGAAAUGCGUAGAUAGUAGGAGGAACACCAGUGGCGAAGGCGGCUUACUGGACUGUAACUGACGUUGAGGCUCGAAAGCGUGGGGAGCAAACAGGAUGAGAUACCCGAGUAGUC